RNAcentral lists this small RNA (29 nucleotides) under Bombyx mori (domestic silkworm). RNAcentral describes it as "ovarian small RNA-8326". The record is from RNAcentral. Lineage: Eukaryota; Metazoa; Arthropoda; Insecta; Lepidoptera; Bombycidae.
UGAUCGGGACCCCCGACGUUUCGAAGUGU